This 322-nucleotide ribosomal RNA is filed under the name soil fungal sp. DM2-413. RNAcentral describes it as "partial 28S rRNA". Lineage: Eukaryota; Fungi. The record is from RNAcentral.
AGACCUUUAUCCAACCGCCCAAACUGAUGCUGGGCUGCCUAUAGAAGAGUGCACCGGGUAGAAACCCGGAUGAGCAACUACNGGCAAGUCUGGCUGCAAGCGCUUCCCUUUCAACAAUUUCACGUGCUUUUUAACUCUCUNUCCAAAGUGCUUUUCAUCUUUGGAUCACUCUACUUGUGCGCUAUCGGUCUCUGGCCAGUAUUUAGCUUUAGAAGAAAUUUACCUCCCAUUUAGAGCUGCAUUCCCAAACAACUCGACUCNNCGAACGGGCUUUACACGGUNAAGGCUAGCGACCUCCUACGGGAUUCUCACCCUCUGUGAC